AAGCGUCAUGCAGAAACAACCUUAAUAGAAUGAAAAAGGUUUCUGCAUCACGCGUUAAUUAAGUACCGACACAAAAUAGCAAUUCAGGUUAGAGUAUUGAGUGCCGAAGAAAUCUUAGCGGCGGACGGGUGAGUAACACGUGGGCAACCUGCCUUGGAAGUGGGGGGAUAACACCGGGGAAAUCGGUGCUAAUACCGCAUAACAUACACAUACUGCAUAGUGAGUGUAUCAAAGGAGCAAUCCGCUUUAAGAUGGGCCCGCGUCUGAUUAGCUAGUUGGUAAGGUAACGGCUUACCAAGGCGACGAUCAGUAGCCGACCUGAGAGGGUGACCGGCCACACUGGAACUGAGACACGGUCCAGACUCCUACGGGAGGCAGCAGUGGGGAAUAUUGCGCAAUGGGGGGAACCCUGACGCAGCAACGCCGCGUGGAGGAAGAAGGUCUUCGGAUUGUAAACUCCUGUCUUCUGGGACGAAAAAAUGACGGUACCAGAGGAGGAAGCCACGGCUAACUACGUG
Molecule: ribosomal RNA, 518 nt
Filed under: uncultured bacterium
Lineage: Bacteria
Description: bacterial SSU rRNA
Rfam family: Bacterial small subunit ribosomal RNA
Source: RNAcentral